RNAcentral lists this long non-coding RNA (636 nucleotides) under Rattus norvegicus (Norway rat). RNAcentral's name for it is "long non-coding RNA NONRATT010615". The record is from RNAcentral. Lineage: Eukaryota; Metazoa; Chordata; Mammalia; Rodentia; Muridae.
UUGAUUCCCACGGCUGGCUGCCAACAGGGCCGCCUCAGGGCUGUAGGACUCCACUGGAGUAUUUACCUCUAUCUGGGAGGUGCACGCUGCCAGCUCACAUCUGUGGGAGGCAGGGACCCACGCUGCGCCUGUGCCUUACCUCUGUGUCAUGCACACACCAGCUCCCAGCUUCCUUGUAUCACCACUCUGAAGACUUGCAGGAGCAAGCUUAGUUCAGUUCCAAUUUUUACACCAUGGUUAAUGGGACUCCCAGAAAGAAACUCAAAUCUGAUGUUAAAGGGCGGUUUCUGUCCCUCGUCUUUCGGAUACCACAGAAAAGUGAGACUUGGGGGUGCUGCAUAUUCCUCUGUUGAAGACAUAGGGAGGGACUGAAGGGUCCUCCUUUAUUGCUUGUCCAGAAGAACUAAAGAGAGUAUCCUGUCAGAGGAGAGAUAGACGACUUGGUACUCAAGUUUAAAUACAUUGUCCCACGGCUGCUUUAAUUUAGAAGUUUCUCACUUGACAGAGAUGAGGCCAGCGGAAUAUAACACAGCUCAACAGCCGUGUCUGUCUCAAACACCCAUUCACGCUGUGUUAUUCUUCAACGUGUGCCAAGAAGUCCAGCUUUUAUUAGACAUUUGGUGAAAAAAAAAAAAA